Stegodyphus mimosarum is the source of this 73-nucleotide non-coding RNA. The record is from Rfam. NCBI's taxonomy places the organism in Eukaryota, Metazoa, Arthropoda, Arachnida, Araneae, Eresidae.
GCCUUCGUGGUGUAGUGGUGAGCACGCUGGGAGUGUAUUCCAGAGGUCCGUGGUUCGAGUUCCGCCGAAGGCA